This 523-nucleotide ribosomal RNA is filed under the name Helicobacter pylori. RNAcentral's name for it is "bacterial SSU rRNA". It matches the Rfam family "Bacterial small subunit ribosomal RNA", at positions 217 to 752 of the family's 1533-position model. The record is from RNAcentral. Lineage: Bacteria; Pseudomonadati; Campylobacterota; Epsilonproteobacteria; Campylobacterales; Helicobacteraceae.
GCUAAGAGAUCAGCCUAUGUCCUAUCAGCUUGUUGGUAAGGUAAUGGCUUACCAAGGCUAUCGACGGGUAUCCGGGCCUGAGAGGGUGAACGGACACACUGGAACUGAGACACGGUCCAGACUCCUACGGGAGGCAGCAGUAGGGAAUAUUGCUCAAUGGGGGAAACCCUGAAGCAGCAACGCCGCGUGGAGGAUGAAGGUUUUAGGAUUGUAAACUCCUUUUGUUAGAGAAGAUAAUGACGGUAUCUAACGAAUAAGCACCGGCUAACUCCGUGCCAGCAGCCGCGGUAAUACGGAGGGUGCAAGCGUUACUCGGAAUCACUGGGCGUAAAGAGCGCGUAGGCGGGAUAGUCAGUCAGGUGUGAAAUCCUAUGGCUUAACCAUAGAACUGCAUUUGAAACUACUAUUCUAGAGUGUGGGAGAGGUAGGUGGAAUUCUUGGUGUAGGGGGUAAAAAUCCGUAGAGAUCAAGAGGAAUACUCAUUGCGAAGGCGACCUGCUGGAACAUUACUGACGCUGAUUGC